UUCCAUACACUUUACCCUCUUCUCCCACAAACCCACGUUUCAUAAAUCUUCUCCCACCCUAAAUCUCAAUUUCUCCGCUAUUAUGACCUCUACUCUCUUCUCCCACAUACUCACGUUACUCCAAUUCUUUGUCCUCUCUGUAUUUUCACAGCAUAAUCAAUCUCUAUUAUUAUUUGGCAUACAAAAAUAGAUCUAUAAAACAACAAAUUUCAGCAAGAAAAAAGGAAGAAAUAUUGAGAUAGAGAAAGUAGAGGAGAAAGAGAUCUAACUGUCCAUCUCAACGAUAGAUUUUUUAACCUUGAUUUUGUCGAAAGCCAUGUUUACAGAUGAAAGAGGUGAAACUGUAUUCACAUGUAUUCAGCAGC
Molecule: long non-coding RNA, 365 nt
Filed under: Nicotiana benthamiana
Lineage: Eukaryota; Viridiplantae; Streptophyta; Magnoliopsida; Solanales; Solanaceae
Description: long non-coding RNA (NBEN_LNC003834)
Source: RNAcentral